Molecule: non-coding RNA, 96 nt
Organism: Mycena polygramma
Lineage: Eukaryota; Fungi; Basidiomycota; Agaricomycetes; Agaricales; Mycenaceae
Source: the annotation of a GenBank genome assembly
GGUUGCGUAGUGUAGCGGUUAUCACUCCAGAUUCUGAUGAUUUAAUUCGACACCCAGAAUCUUCUGGCAACCCCGGUUCGAUUCCGGGCGCGACCU